Molecule: ribosomal RNA, 269 nt
Filed under: uncultured eukaryote
Lineage: Eukaryota
Description: partial small subunit ribosomal RNA
Rfam family: Eukaryotic small subunit ribosomal RNA
Source: RNAcentral
AGGGCACCACCAGGAGUGGAGCCUGCGGCUUAAUUUGACUCAACACGGGGAAACUCACCAGGUCCAGACACAAUAAGGAUUGACAGAUUGAGAGCUCUUUCUUGAUUUUGUGGGUGGUGGUGCAUGGCCGUUCUUAGUUGGUGGAGUGAUUUGUCUGCUUAAUUGCGAUAACGAACGAGACCUUAACCUACUAAAUAGGGUUGCUGGCACUUGCUGGUUAACUCUUCUUAGAGGGACUAUCGGUUUCAAGCCGAUGGAAGUUUGAGGCA